RNAcentral lists this ribosomal RNA (395 nucleotides) under Moraxella sp. RNAcentral's name for it is "bacterial SSU rRNA". It matches the Rfam family "Bacterial small subunit ribosomal RNA", at positions 385 to 774 of the family's 1533-position model. The record is from RNAcentral. Lineage: Bacteria; Pseudomonadati; Pseudomonadota; Gammaproteobacteria; Moraxellales; Moraxellaceae.
GAUCAGCCAUGCCGCGUGUGUGAGAAGGCCUUUUGGUUGUAAAGCACUUUAAGCAGUGAAGAAGACCAUAUGGUUAAUACCCAUAUGCGAUGACAUUAGCUGCAGAAUAAGCACCGGCUAACUCUGUGCCAGCAGCCGCGGUAAUACAGAGGGUGCAAGCGUUAAUCGGAAUUACUGGGCGUAAAGCGAGCGUAGGUGGCUUGAUAAGUCAGAUGUGAAAUCCCCGGGCUUAACCUGGGAACUGCAUCUGAUACUGUUAAGCUAGAGUAGGUGAGAGGGAAGUAGAAUUCCAGGUGUAGCGGUGAAAUGCGUAGAGAUCUGGAGGAAUACCGAUGGCGAAGGCAGCUUCCUGGCAUCAUACUGACACUGAGGCUCGAAAGCGUGGGUAGCAAACA